CCUACGGGAGGCAGCAGUAGGGAAUAUUGCUCAAUGGGGGAAACCCUGAAGCAGCAACGCCGCGUGGAGGAUGAAGGUUUUCGGAUUGUAAACUCCUUUUGUUAGAGAAGAUAAUGACGGUAUCUAACGAAUAAGCACCGGCUAACUCCGUGCCAGCAGCCGCGGUAAUACGGAGGGUGCAAGCGUUACUCGGAAUCACUGGGCGUAAAGAGAUAGUAGGCGGGAUAGCAAGUCAGAUGUGAAAUCCUAUGGCUUAACCAUAGAACUGCAUUUGAAACUGUUAUUCUAGAGUAUGGGAGAGGUAGGUGGAAUGCUUGGUGUAGGGGUAAAAUCCGUAGAGAUCAAGAGGAAUACUCAUUGCGAAGGCGACCUGCUAGAACAUAACUGACGCUGAUGCGCGAAAGCGUGGGGAGCAAACAGGAUUAGAUACCCCUGUAGUC
RNAcentral lists this ribosomal RNA (440 nucleotides) under uncultured bacterium. Its description in RNAcentral is "partial 16S ribosomal RNA". It matches the Rfam family "Bacterial small subunit ribosomal RNA", at positions 338 to 795 of the family's 1533-position model. The record is from RNAcentral.